This 310-nucleotide long non-coding RNA is filed under the name Mus caroli (Ryukyu mouse). Its description in RNAcentral is "lncRNA (MGP_CAROLIEiJ_G0005919.1)". Lineage: Eukaryota; Metazoa; Chordata; Mammalia; Rodentia; Muridae. The record is from RNAcentral.
AACUUGCCAAUUACUCUUUCCAGAUAUUACAGGAGACUCCGAUUGGCUCUCCCCGAGUCACGUGCUCCCUGCUAGCCAAACAACAGUAGCCUGGAGUGUGAAGUGCAUGGGAUCUCACUCUUAAAUUCAAAAGUUAAGACAAUGAGGACGGCUAUCUUACAAGACCUAAUGGCCCUUGACGUACUAACGGCAGCUCGAGGAGGAACCUGUGCCAUCAUUAGAGUGCUGUGUAUAUAAACCUGACAACUGGGACAAUAUGUCCUCAGUCCUCCAAGAUUUACAUACUCAAAUUAAAUCUCUGUCAGGCCCU